RNAcentral lists this transfer RNA (50 nucleotides) under Cyrtodactylus sp. TPK-2020. RNAcentral describes it as "partial tRNA-Tyr". The record is from RNAcentral. Lineage: Eukaryota; Metazoa; Chordata; Lepidosauria; Squamata; Gekkonidae.
GGCCGAGUAGGUGGCAAGUUGUAGCCUUGCUUACGGGGCCGUGCCCCCCC